AGUGAACGCUGGCGGUAGGCCUAACACAUGCAAGUCGAACGGCAGCACAGUAAGAGCUUGCUCUUACGGGUGGCGAGUGGCGGACGGGUGAGGAAUACAUCGGAAUCUACUUUUUCGUGGGGGAUAACGUCGGGAAACUUACGCUAAUACCGCAUACGACCUACGGGUGAAAGCAGGGGAUCUUCGGACCUUGCGCGAUUGAAUGAGCCGAUGUCGGAUUAGCUAGUUGGCGGGGUAAAGGCCCACCAAGGCGACGAUCCGUAGCUGGUCUGAGAGGAUGAUCAGCCACACUGGAACUGAGACACGGUCCAGACUCCUACGGGAGGCAGCAGUGGGGAAUAUUGGACAAUGGGCGCAAGCCUGAUCCAGCCAUACCGCGUGUGUGAAGAAGGCCUUCGGGUUGUAAAGCCCUUUUGUUGGGAAAGAAAAGCAGCAUGUUAAUACCCCGCUGUUCUGACGGUACCCAAAGAAUAAGCACCGGCUAACUUCGUG
This 492-nucleotide ribosomal RNA is filed under the name uncultured bacterium. Its description in RNAcentral is "partial 16S ribosomal RNA". It matches the Rfam family "Bacterial small subunit ribosomal RNA", at positions 29 to 507 of the family's 1533-position model. The record is from RNAcentral.